This 253-nucleotide ribosomal RNA is filed under the name uncultured bacterium. RNAcentral's name for it is "partial 16S ribosomal RNA". It matches the Rfam family "Bacterial small subunit ribosomal RNA", at positions 524 to 776 of the family's 1533-position model. The record is from RNAcentral.
UACGAAGGGGGCUAGCGUUGUUCGGAUUUACUGGGCGUAAAGCGCACGUAGGCGGAUCGUUAAGUCGGGGGUGGAAUCCUGGAGCUCAACUCCAGAACUGCCUUCGAUACUGGCGAUCUAGAGUCCGGAAGAGGUGAGUGGAACUCCUAGUGUAGAGGUGGAAUUCGUAGAUAUUAGGAAGAACACCAGUGGCGAAGGCGGCUCACUGGUCCGGUACUGACGCUGAGGUGCGAAAGCGUGGGGAGCAAACAGG